Molecule: long non-coding RNA, 894 nt
Organism: Nerophis ophidion (straightnose pipefish)
Lineage: Eukaryota; Metazoa; Chordata; Actinopteri; Syngnathiformes; Syngnathidae
Exons: 3
Source: RefSeq, a predicted model, not a curated record
CUGUUGCUAUAGUUAUUAGCUAUUGUGCUCAAGUUAGACAUUUCUAUCUGUGCAAGGACAAAAACUUCUUGUCUGACGGGUGGUCUCAGCUGCACAGAGGAUCUAGCUCAGACCUGGGCAAGUAAAGGUCCGGGGGCCACAUGCGGCCCGUUAAGCGUUUCAAUCUGACCCGCCGGACAUUCCCAAAUCAUUUUUUUGGAUCUUUAAGAUGGAAAGCGUAGCUGCCAUUAUGAUGUGCACUCAUCUUUUCUAAUGACCCUAAGUCAGGAGUCCCCAAACUACGGCGUCCAAAAUCCGCCACAGACGGAGGCAAUCUGCAAUCAACACACCUGAAUAUAAUAAAGAGCCACUUCUCCUCGUCGGAACGUAGCCCGGUGAACGGACGUCAACAAAGAUAAGACGACAGCACGCAGAGAAGCUCUGUCAUCCGGAAGGAGCUCAUAGUAAAGCCGCUGCUCCUCCACAUCGAGAGGAGCCAGAUGAGAUGGUUCUGAAAGCUGGUCAGGAUGCCAGCCAAACGCCUCCCUAGGGAGGUGUUUCAGGCACGUCCGACCGGUAGUAGGCCACGGGGAAGACCCAGGACACGCUGGCCUGGGAACACCUCGGGAUCCCCCUGGAAGAGCUGGACGAAGUGGCUGGGGAGAGGAAAGUCUGGGCUUCCCUGCUUAGGCUGCUGCCCCCAUGACCCGACUUUGGAUAAGCGGAAGAAGCUGGAUGGAUGGAUGAAAAAAAGAACCAACAUUCUAAUUAUGUCCCGAGACUUGAAGCCGGACUGACUGGAAUCUCUACACAUGAAAGAAGACAAGAAGUGAUUUAUGUUUACAACACGGCCAUUGUGGAAAAUCUGCAUACUGAUAAAGAUGAACAGUUUGACUUUGCAUAUAAAGUGCAAUG